This 91-nucleotide transfer RNA is filed under the name Enterococcus faecium PC4.1. RNAcentral's name for it is "tRNA-Ser". It matches the Rfam family "tRNA". From Rfam's summary of the family: Transfer RNA (tRNA) molecules are approximately 80 nucleotides in length. Their secondary structure includes four short double-helical elements and three loops (D, anti-codon, and T loops). Further hydrogen bonds mediate the characteristic L-shaped molecular structure. tRNAs have two regions of fundamental functional importance: the anti-codon, which is responsible for specific mRNA codon recognition, and the 3' end, to which the tRNAs corresponding amino acid is attached (by aminoacyl-tRNA synthetases). tRNAs cope with the degeneracy of the genetic code in two manners: having more than one tRNA (with a specific anti-codon) for a particular amino acid; and 'wobble' base-pairing, i.e. permitting non-standard base-pairing at the 3rd anti-codon position. The record is from RNAcentral. Lineage: Bacteria; Bacillati; Bacillota; Bacilli; Lactobacillales; Enterococcaceae.
GGAAGGUUGGCAGAGUGGUAAUGCACCGGACUCGAAAUCCGGCGAGCCGCAGUAAUGUGGUGCACGGGUUCAAAUCCCGUACCUUCCUUAU